ACGAACGCUGGCGGCGUGCUUAACACAUGCAAGUCGAACGGUGAAGGGGUCUGCUUUUGUGGGCCCUGGAUGAGUGGCGAACGGGUGAGUAACACGUGAGUAACCUGCCCCCUUCUUCUGGAUAACCGCAUGAAAGUGUGGCUAAUACGGGAUAUUCUGGGUCUGUCGCAUGAUGGGUCUGGGAAAGAUUGCGCCUUUGGGUGUUUUUGGUGGGGGAUGGGCUCGCGGCCUAUCAGCUUGUUGGUGGGGUGAUGGCCUACCAAGGCGGUGACGGGUAGCCGGCCUGAGAGGGUGGACGGUCACACUGGGACUGAGACACGGCCCAGACUCCUACGGGAGGCAGCAGUGGGGAAUAUUGCACAAUGGGCGCAAGCCUGAUGCAGCGACGCCGCGUGAGGGAUGGAGGCCUUCGGGUUGUAAACCUCUUUCGCCAGUGAAGCAGGCCUGCUCCGUGUGGGUGGGUUGACGGUAGCUGGAGAAGAAGCGCCGGCUAACUACGUG
This 501-nucleotide ribosomal RNA is filed under the name uncultured bacterium. RNAcentral's name for it is "partial 16S ribosomal RNA". It matches the Rfam family "Bacterial small subunit ribosomal RNA", at positions 29 to 507 of the family's 1533-position model. The record is from RNAcentral.